Molecule: ribosomal RNA, 501 nt
Filed under: Amanita ocreata (western North American destroying angel)
Lineage: Eukaryota; Fungi; Basidiomycota; Agaricomycetes; Agaricales; Amanitaceae
Description: eukaryotic LSU rRNA
Rfam family: Eukaryotic large subunit ribosomal RNA
Source: RNAcentral
AGCGGGAAAAGCUCAAAUUUAAAAUCUGGCAGAUGUUUGUCUGUCCGAGUUGUAACCUAGAGAAGUGUAACCUGUGCUGGACCGUGUACAAGUCUCCUGGAAUGGAGCAUCAUAGAGGGUGAGAAUCCCGUCUUUGACAUGGACUACCAGUGCACUGUGGUUGUGCACUCAACGAGUCGAGUUGUUUGGGAAUGCAGCUCUAAAUGGGUGGUAAAUUCCAUCUAAAGCUAAAUAUUGGCGAGAGACCGAUAGCGAACAAGUACCGUGAGGGAAAGAUGAAAAGAACUUUGGAAAGAGAGUUAAACAGUAUGUGAAAUUGUUGAAAGGGAAACGCUUGAAGUCAGCUGCAUUGGCUGGGGAUCAAGCCAGCUUAUUUGCUGGUUGUACUUCCUGGUUGAUGGGCCAACAUCAGUUUUGACCAUCAGAGAAAGGCCAAGGGAAUGUGGCACCUUUAUAGGUGUGUUAUAGCCCUUGGUUGUAUGUGGUGGUUGGGACUGAGGA